CCACCACCACACGGCACACCACCUCUACCCACCCCACACGUACGCUCAUCGACAAGGUUGAAAGCGAAACAGAGGGUGGUGUGAGAGUUUCCCUUUCACCUCCAACGUCUUCGCUCUCAUCAUACAAAAACAAUUCUCUUGUGCACCGCAUGCCUUCGGAAGAUGAGUCGUCGUGGCGGCUUCUCUUCGGCAUCGCCCUGAGCCAUGGCGAGUUGCUCAGAGCAGGGCGCCUCUCGCAUGACGGCUGGAUGGUGUUUCUUAGCUCUGCGCAACUCAUCGGCCCCGCGACAGGGGUCUUUCCUGUUCUGCUCGACCAGCUUUGGCAGCGGCAAUCCUUGAGUGAAGGUGCGCGACAGGCAGGCGCCAACGAGCAUGAUCCAGGACCUGCCUCCGUUUCGUCACGGGCCUUCUCACUUAGCGUUGGGUCAUCGCGUAUGUCUUUGAUAUCCAGAGACUUCCAGCGCUCCGGGAAUAUCACAACAGCGCCGUCGUCCUCAAUGCCGCGGCCGUCGAGCGCGGCGCAUGAAGGCGAAUCUAUUGGAUUCAGCGGCUUUGUGGAUAUGAUGAAGGUGAUCUGCGUGCGUAUCUUCCAAACCCAGCGCUUCACGCGCCUGCGUGAGGGGCACGGGAACUUCGAUGAAGGCGAAGGGGAGUCUGCACUUCGUGCACUACGUGAAAGUGCUGAGGACCACGUUCUGCUGACCGAGUCGGUGAAGUACACAGCCGCUACGUUUCUGCGGCCUUUCAUCUCGCGGUGCGUCAUCCAUGCAUCGUCGCAGAUGCGGCUUCACCCGGCGCGAAAUGGAUGGGCACUGCAUGUGAACCGACUGGUGGCGCACGUUGUCGGAGCCUUACUCCACACGGCAAUUCUUCCGCUUUUCCGCAAGUACGCAGUGGCUGGCCGCCUGUCGGAGGCCGGCUACCGCGCAUUCAUCCGAGACGCUUUCCCUGUACUGGACGCCGUCAAAGAGACUUGCGCGGUGGCCAUCUUCUAUCACGGCGGGUUUCCAGACAUUAGACCCCUUGUGAAGGGUCUGCAGCCGCUAGCAGCGUCGGUCUCUCCAGAGCUCGCCACGGUGGUCUCCGAGCCAACACUUGGCUUCACAGAUUUUAUCGAAGCAAUGCUGAUGCUGACGGUGGUGGUGUACUCGGACGAGGUGCGCUACCCCGCUCAACGACCCAUUACUGCCAAGGUUUGGUCUUUCUUUGAGGAGCAUGUUUGCGGCCGCGCGCUCCGCGGCGCUGCCAUGUGUUCUGACCCGUACGUCACUGGUCGCUACGCCACGGUUCCGCCUGGCCUCGUCGCUGUCUACCCAGCGGUAGCGCCGCGGUUGCAGUGCCCGUGUCUUUUUGUGGAGGUCAUCAAUUUUCAGGGGGAUAACGUGACGGGUGGCGCAGUGCAACCACCUGCAGCGCAAGCAUCCAACAAAGGCCCGCCAUCGUCGCUGUUUCUGACGGAGGUGACAGUCGCCGAAACAGAGUUGUCGUUGUGCUCGCCGUGGGACUGCGGUGCCAACUCCGACGUUGCCUUGCAGGCUGCAGCGACGUUUUUCGCGACCGAAUGGAGCUUGCUGGAGCGGAAUCGAUGUGUACCUCUCUUUGGCCGAAGCCGAGCUUCUGUCAGCCACGCGAUCAUGAUCUGCGGCGCUGCUGUAGAGGCCGCUCCGACGAGGUGCCCUGAAAUUUUGCAGGUUCCCCUCCCCGACUCGCUGCAGCAGCCGACGCUGUAUCAGUGCGCUGUGGAGGCUGCCGCCGCCACAGCAGUCGACGGAGUUUUCGAAGAGGGGGCCGUGUGCAUCCUCUUCACACCCUUCCGCUCUCUUACCGUUGAGUUGGCUGUCUCUGAUGAUGAUGCAGCAACCAGGGACAAAGACGGUGAACCAGCGACACAAACGGGCUCUUGGGGAUGCGCGGACGUUAUUGCGACUGACACGCCCCUUGUGCAAGUCGUCCCGCCCCGCCUGCUCGCGCCGCUCCACACACUCUUCGUAUCUCAAACUCCAGCACGUAGCGGCGACGAUCCAGCCGCAUCUGCGCCGCCCCGCAUAUCGCUUUCGGCGGUGUGCGAGCUGUGCCGGCAGCUGCAGUGGUGCGCCACCUCUUACAAGCAGCAGCACGACUUACCGUCACUAUGCGCACAGGCAUGGACGAAAUAUGGCGACUUUCAGCGCAUUCUUCACUCUACGGUGAGCCGACACGGGAACACUUCCUCCGUCGGUGGAGCGUUGUCAUCCUUCACGGAGCAAGCCGCCUUGCUCAGCUUCACGGACCUCAUCGGCUGCUUAGCCACAGUGCUCUUUCUGGAGCAAGGCGGGAGGCUGAGUGACGUGCCUGACGUGCCGCGCCGUCUAGAGUUCGCGCUGUCCUCCUUUCCAUCUACCUUCACCUCUGCCACUGGAACCGCUUCUCGUGUCCCGGACGCCGGGCUGCGAUCGCCAGACAUCUACAGUAUUCCAUACAACGCCUUCCGUGAUGUGCCCUACCUCACAGCGCUUGAGCGCAAAAGCAAGCAGUCGAAAGAAGCACAGGAGCGCCGCACCGCUUUGAUUGCGUCCUUGCGGGAGCACCACGCACUACAGAUCCCAACCCCUGUCACGCUGCCGCCUCUCCCGGAAGACCGGCCGUGUGCAAUGCGCCUGGUGUCCCAGUACGGCGCGGCAAAUCCGACAACAGUCUUUCACGCUGUCAUGCGCGACGGAGCGGAAGCCAUAAAAGCCCACUUCCUGCAGCAGGAGCUAGCCAUCCCCGAAAUGCCCGAGUGACACAAGGCAUUCGUGGUGGCAGCCGUGCGAGGCUCGACGAAUACGCUGCGGGCCUGUACGCCUUCUUUUUAUGUGUAUGUCUGCUUGCCCUCGCCUUCUCUCACGGACGAUAUCUUGAGCGCAGUCCGGCGUGGUCUGGCGAGCGGGCUUGAUUCGCGCGUCUGAGUGUUUUUGUUCCUUGUGCGUGGGCGGGGCUCUUUUGGAGCGCUUUGCCGCGAGCAGACAUACACGCACGUCAUGUACACUACCGUUGCCCUACAAUGCACGCACCCGCAGGGUGCUGACUGCCUGGAGUAGCAUCCGCAAGCACUUGACGCGAGUCACGUAAACUGUCGCUAAGGAGGAGGGAGGGGAAGGGGUGAUGGUGGUGGAAUGACCAGCAAAGACACAAGGUGCCCCCUCCCCCUAUUGGCUUCGAUGUGCGUGUGCGUGACAAUGAUGGCCUGGCUUGUGGACUAGGCGGCACGCAACACGCACGCACAGCAGGAGGCUCUCUAUUUUCUCCUGACAUGCCUAUCCUCGUUACUCCUCUCGUGUGUGUGCAAGGAGUGUGCUACGACCCACUCCCUGUGUCUUUUCGACGAAGCGCUGCCGCCUCUCAAUGGACUGGAAAAAAAGAGAAAGAUGGACCGGCAGUGCCUCAUCUUCUCAUUGGGGCGACUCCGGCUGCACUGCGGGGCUCAACCCUGAUUAUCUCCCUCUCGCUGCAUCUCCCCCUUUCCCUUCGUUUCCUUUGUUGGUGCCGGUAUUCGUCUGCUUCGCUUUACAG
Molecule: unclassified non-coding RNA, 3531 nt
Filed under: Leishmania donovani
Lineage: Eukaryota; Euglenozoa; Kinetoplastea; Trypanosomatida; Trypanosomatidae
Description: gene:LdHU3.34.5550(CDS-product:hypothetical_prote in_conserved)
Source: RNAcentral